UGGAAAUCAUUGCCCAA
Molecule: non-coding RNA, 17 nt
Filed under: Mus musculus (house mouse)
Lineage: Eukaryota; Metazoa; Chordata; Mammalia; Rodentia; Muridae
Source: RNAcentral